GAUGAACGCUAGCGGCAGGCCUAACACAUGCAAGUCGAGGGGCAGCAUAUAAAUAGCUUGCUAUUUAUGAUGGCGACCGGCGCACGGGUGCGUAACGCGUAUGCAACCUACCAUUAACAGGGGGAUAAUUCGGAGAAAUCUGGUCUAAUACCCCAUAUUAUAUAUUAAGGCAUCUUAUUAUAUUGAAAGUUCCGGCGGUUAAUGAUGGGCAUGCGUUGUAUUAGUUAGUUGGUGAGGUAAUGGCUAACCAAGGCUACGAUACAUGGGGGGACUGGGGGGUUAACCCCCCACCCUGGUACUGAGACACGGACCAGACUCUUACGGGGGGAAGCAGUGAGGAAUAUUGGUAAAUGGACGAAAGUCUGAACCAGCCAUGCCGCGUGCAGGAUGACGGCUCUAGGAGUUUUAAACUGCUUUUUACAGGGGUAAAAUCGGAUACGUGUAUCCGACUGAAAGUACUGUACGAAUAAGGAUCGGCUAACUCCGUGCCAGCCGCCGCGGUAAGAC
Molecule: ribosomal RNA, 507 nt
Filed under: uncultured bacterium
Lineage: Bacteria
Description: bacterial SSU rRNA
Rfam family: Bacterial small subunit ribosomal RNA
Source: RNAcentral